Molecule: non-coding RNA, 3311 nt
Organism: Phalacrocorax carbo (great cormorant)
Lineage: Eukaryota; Metazoa; Chordata; Aves; Suliformes; Phalacrocoracidae
Source: RefSeq, a predicted model, not a curated record
CCAACUAGGAAAAAGUUCAGCACUGCUUCAGAUGCUCUGAGAUUAGCACAAAUUACAGUCAAAGGGCAAAUAGAAGAUGAAGGAUUCCAGAUCUGGGGCAAAAAUAAGUCAGCUACAGGUAGGGAGGCUUCUCACGCCUGUCAAAAAGGAGAAGAAACUACUUUAUAUUUGAGGGACGUGUCUUGCUGCCAGUCCCUUGUGACUUCAUAGCAAAAACUUUUCACAACAGGAUAUGAAAUAAGCAUGAGAGAUGUGAGCAGGGUCUACUGUUUUCUAAUUCAUCUCAUGAAAAAUAUCACCUCCAAAUCACUCCUGUGAUAGAAUAAGACAACUGUCCAGCAGAGAAGAUGUGAGGAUGAAUCCAUGAAGAAUGGGAAGGAAGAAGAAAGGCAAAGCGGGGAGAUAUUCCAGUUGAAGGAGAUGCUCUUUGGAGGUAAUGGCUGUUUGUCACUGUGUUAAUAUAACCAAGUAGUGUGACCCUUAAACCGCUCCAGGACUAAAGAAACUGUGAGAUACGGGCACUCAAGGAGACAGAAGUAGCCAGGAAACAAUCAGCAGAUGAUCACCACUUGUGCCUACCGAGGAAGAUCUCCUGGACUAAUCUACUCUGACUGCAUACACCAUAUUGCUCUAUGUACUUGCAUAUCAACCAAGAAAACGUCUUAUCCCCCAACUUGGAGAAUUUUUGCUUACUGAACUGAUGGGAAUCUUAAAAUUGAAAAAGAAACAGAAAGCAAUGGUUUUAGGUGAAAGCAUUAUAACAGUGACAUAACUUUUAAUUCUCAUUGAGAAAUUUGCAGUCAUCUUUAUCCAUUCAAAAGAAGUCUCUGAAAUCUUUGGGGCAGGACUGUCUAAUACCUGGCCUAUCUGGCAUCUGUUUAUUUUCCUAUCUAGUUCGUAAAAGCCUUUGAAAUCAUCCUCUACAAGUAUAUACCUGCAUUGACAGGGCUCAGUAGAUAGUAAGGACAGUCAUAAAUUUCCAGAUUGUGAAUUAUGAUAUGCCGACUAUCAGUCCAUUCCACCCAACAGUAUUUCUGGAUAAACCAGGGUUUCAGGUGUGAUGUUCCAGUGACAGUUUGAGAAGCUAAAUUCUGGUUUUUAAAUAAUGUCUAUUUUCUGUCUUGUAUACUGGGCAUGUGUGAGAGCAUGUGUGUGUGAGUGUGUCCUUGUCACUGGGGGAAACAGUUUUUACUGCUAUAGGUAAGAAAGCUUGCAUCCCAAAGAUCAUUUUAAUCCUUAAAUCCAGUUUCUACUAUGAGAAAAAGCUAAGUCCAGAAACUGAUGGGACAUGCUGUCAUGAAAACCAACUGCAUGAUUCCUAUGAACCCUCAUCUGUCCUCCUUUCUGGUAUUAGCUUAAGGAAAAACAAGCAAAAAAAAACCCCAAACAAAACAAAAAAACAUGGACUCUGCCUGAAAAACACCUCACAAGGUGUGACUGAAGAAGUCUAUGUGCAGCCAAUAUCUAUAAUGGGAGGCACAUUUAAUAAGCUGUGUUUAUAACUUGGUUUGAAUCUGGCCAAACACAAAAAAUAUCUCUUUUCUAAUGAAAAGCCAGAUAGAACCUCCAUGCAGAAGUACCAAUUUACUGGUGUUCCCUCUCCUCAGGGUUGUGGCAGGAAAGAUCUUUGCCCAGUUAAGUGUACUUAAAACACGUGAGGCAUCCAGUGAGUACCUUCUUUCACUCUCUCUCCAUAUUUCCCAGUGAAACCAGAAAAAUAUUUACAGGCAGAAAGUGGGUAGUGGAUUACGUAUGUGUUGUAAAAGUGACUAGUUGCCCCUAGAAAAUAAUUAAUAAUUGUAGCAGUGGAUAUAUAUGUAUAGAUUGUAGAAGCUCAAUGUGUCAGAGCUAUCGGGUUCAAAGAGCAGCCGAAGACUGUGAAUACCCAAACUCUGCAACACUGUCCUUCUGGGGUAGAUGUUAGACUGAGGCUGCUGACCAUAUGUCUCCUAUAAGUGAUGAGAAUGAUAAGCAGCCCAGAUCACUGGGAUUCCAAGUCAGCAUCCAGAGGGGUUUCUUUCCAGUCCAUGGAGCUCCUAGGCCAACUUUAUUCUUUAACUGAAUGCUUCAGUACCUAAAGUUAGGAAGAAAUCAAGACUACUAAUAUUGGUACUACUAUUGGUAGUUUAAUAUGAUACCUCUCUAAUACUAAAUAAGGCCAAAUUCUUUUCCCUUUUAAGGACUAGGGAAAUCAAUAGCUUUUAAAAGGUUUUUCCACAGGAUAUUAAUAUCAGUAAUAUUUUAUUUAGAACAUACAUUGAAAAUAAAUAUACAUAUCUGAAACAAAAUGAAGAAUUGCACACACAGAAGUCUGAAAAUUCAUGAAGUCACAUUACUGAAAAAGAUCAUGGCCAAAGACGAAAACAAAAACUGUUUUACAGACCACUUAUACUGCAGCACAAGGAGGACAUACAGAAGAGGAGGUAUCGUUACUAGGAGCAGUAGAGGCUGCAGGAGCUGGUUUCCGUGAGAAACAUCAAGCCUUACACAGAGAUUAGUUUUACUCAUGGCAGCUAUUAUCCAUGACUUACAGAAUUAGCCUUGUUCUCCAUUUUCCAUAUUUGGGCUUCAUCUUCCAGCUGGUGUCAUUCCAGCUUCUCCCAUUGAUCUUUCUGGCACUUGAAACUUGUUACAGCCACAAGCAAAAUAAUUAUCCUUAUUCCCUGGAACACCAUAGUCUAGUUCUGUGGACAACCCUUUGUUAUCCUUCUUUUGCCUCAGACAUGCAGUAUUCUGAAAAUGCCACUUCUUCCUUCAAAUCCACGCUCAGGUACCUUUAUUCAACCCACUUUAUUAAACUUCUUUCCACCUCUGAUUUUAACUAAGAAAGCACUGCCUCUUUGUUCCACAUCCCUAAAAUGCAGUUUUUCUCCUAAAACUAUAGCUGAACAUUUCUUCUUUCUGCUCCACUCUCCUGAAAGCUCAGAGUAUCAGGAUGAACCUGUAAAGACCCUAUGAACAACACAGUUCAGGUGAUAUUCCAGCAUGAAUGAAUGUAUAUACACUUUUGAGUGGUGGGGGGUUACACCGCCUGGAUAGGUGCAAUGUAUACACAGGACUGCUCAGAAAGACAAAUGUUGCUGCUUAGUUCUCCCUUCUCUAGCUUUAAUGCCUUGCCCUAAAACCUCAGUCCUCUUAUCUGCUUUUACAGCUUCUCACAUUGCCCCUGUCAGUUCCACUGAAUAAAUGAUGUCAUCCUUGUCUGCUUGAAUGUUUACUUCUUUCUGCACUGCCCUUGGCACAGAAUACUCUUCCCAAAACUAAUCCAUCCUGAAAGCCAUUUUUCUUUUCCUUCCAAUCUACCCUCAAGG